Molecule: ribosomal RNA, 1032 nt
Filed under: human gut metagenome
Description: bacterial LSU rRNA
Rfam family: Bacterial large subunit ribosomal RNA
Source: RNAcentral
AGGGAAGAGUGUGAGCCAUGCGUCAAGAAAAGCCGCUAUUGUUUGUAUCGCGCCCGUACCGUAAACCGACACAGGUGGAUGAGGAGAGAAUCCUAAGGCCGCCGGGAGAAGCAUUGUUAAGGAACUCGGCAAAAUGACUCCGUAACUUCGGGAGAAGGAGUGCCACUGAGAGGUGGCCGCAGAGAAUUGGCCCAAGCAACUGUUUAGCAAAAACACAGGUCUAUGCAAAACCGAAAGGUGAAGUAUAUGGGCUGACGCCUGCCCGGUGCUGGAAGGUUAAGGGGAGAGGUUAGCGGAAACGCGAAGCUUUGAACUUAAGCCCCAGUAAACGGCGGCCGUAACUAUAACGGUCCUAAGGUAGCGAAAUUCCUUGUCGGGUAAGUUCCGACCCGCACGAAAGGCGUAAUGAUUUGGGCACUGUCUCAACAAUGCACCCGGUGAAAUUGAAAUACCAGUGAAGAUGCUGGUUACCUGCGCCAGGACGGAAAGACCCCAUGGAGCUUUACUCCAGCUUGAUACUGGGAUUCGGUAUUGCAUGUACAGGAUAGGUGGGAGGCUAAGAAGCGGUAACGCCAGUUGCCGUGGAGCUGCUGUUGGGAUACCACCCUUGCAGUACUGGGUUUCUAACCAGCGGCCUUUAUCAGGUCGGGGGACAAUGUCAGGUGGGGAGUUUGACUGGGGCGGUCGCCUCCGAAAGGGUAUCGGAGGCGCUCAAAGGUUCCCUCAGAAUGGUCGGAAACCAUUCGAAGAGUGCAAAGGCAGAAGGGAGCUUGACUGCGACACCGACGGGUGGAGCAGGUACGAAAGUAGGACUUAGUGAUCCGGUGGUAUAAAGUGGGAUUGCCAUCGCUCAACGGAUAAAAGCUACCCUGGGGAUAACAGGCUUAUCACUCCCAAGAGUUCACAUCGACGGAGUGGUUUGGCACCUCGAUGUCGGCUCAUCGCAUCCUGGGGCUGAAGUAGGUCCCAAGGGUUGGGCUGUUCGCCCAUUAAAGCGGUACGCGAGCUGGGUUCAGAACGUCGUGAGACAGU